AGCGUACACGGUGGAUGCCCUGGCAGUCAGAGGCGAUGAAGGACGUGCUAAUCUGCGAUAAGCGUCGGUGAGGUGAUAUGAACCGUUAUAACCGGCGAUUUCCGAAUGGGGAAACCCAGUGUGUUUCGACACACUAUCAUUAACUGAAUCCAUAGGUUAAUGAGGCGAACCGGGGGAACUGAAACAUCUAAGUACCCCGAGGAAAAGAAAUCAACCGAGAUUCCCCCAGUAGCGGCGAGCGAACGGGGAGGAGCCCAGAGCCUGAAUCAGUGUGUGUGUUAGUGGAAGCGUCUGGAAAGGCGCGCGAUACAGGGUGACAGCCCCGUACACAAAAAUGCACAUACUGUGAGCUCGAUGAGUAGGGCGGGACACGUGGUAUCCUGUCUGAAUAUGGGGGGACCAUCCUCCAAGGCUAAAUACUCCUGACUGACCGAUAGUGAACCAGUACCGUGAGGGAAAGGCGAAAAGAACCCCGGCGAGGGGAGUGAAAAAGAACCUGAAACCGUGUACGUACAAGCAGUGGGAGCCUCUUAAUGGGGUGACUGCGUACCUUUUGUAUAAUGGGUCAGCGACUUAUAUUCUGUAGCAAGGUUAACCGAAUAGGGGAGCCGAAGGGAAACCGAGUCUUAACUGGGCGUUAAGUUGCAGGGUAUAGACCCGAAACCCGGUGAUCUAGCCAUGGGCAGGUUGAAGGUUGGGUAACACUAACUGGAGGACCGAACCGACUAAUGUUGAAAAAUUAGCGGAUGACUUGUGGCUGGGGGUGAAAGGCCAAUCAAACCGGGAGAUAGCUGGUUCUCCCCGAAAGCUAUUUAGGUAGCGCCUCGUGAAUUCAUCUCCGGGGGUAGAGCACUGUUUCGGCAAGGGGGUCAUCCCGACUUACCAACCCGAUGCAAACUGCGAAUACCGGAGAAUGUUAUCACGGGAGACACACGGCGGGUGCUAACGUCCGUCGUGAAGAGGGAAACAACCCAGACCGCCAGCUAAGGUCCCAAAGUCAUGGUUAAGUGGGAAACGAUGUGGGAAGGCCCAGACAGCCAGGAUGUUGGCUUAGAAGCAGCCAUCAUUUAAAGAAAGCGUAAUAGCUCACUGGUCGAGUCGGCCUGCGCGGAAGAUGUAACGGGGCUAAACCAUGCACCGAAGCUGCGGCAGCGACACUAUGUGUUGUUGGGUAGGGGAGCGUUCUGUAAGCCUGUGAAGGUGGCCUGUGAGGGUUGCUGGAGGUAUCAGAAGUGCGAAUGCUGACAUAAGUAACGAUAAAGCGGGUGAAAAGCCCGCUCGCCGGAAGACCAAGGGUUCCUGUCCAACGUUAAUCGGGGCAGGGUGAGUCGACCCCUAAGGCGAGGCCGAAAGGCGUAGUCGAUGGGAAACAGGUUAAUAUUCCUGUACUUGGUGUUACUGCGAAGGGGGGACGGAGAAGGCUAUGUUGGCCGGGCGACGGUUGUCCCGGUUUAAGCGUGUAGGCUGGUUUUCCAGGCAAAUCCGGAAAACCAAGGCUGAGGCGUGAUGACGAGGCACUACGGUGCUGAAGCGACAAAUGCCCUGCUUCCAGGAAAAGCCUCUAAGCAUCAGGUAACAUCAAAUCGUACCCCAAACCGACACAGGUGGUCAGGUAGAGAAUACCAAGGCGCUUGAGAGAACUCGGGUGAAGGAACUAGGCAAAAUGGUGCCGUAACUUCGGGAGAAGGCACGCUGAUAUGUAGGUGAAGCGACUUGCUCGUGGAGCUGAAAUCAGUCGAAGAUACCAGCUGGCUGCAACUGUUUAUUAAAAACACAGCACUGUGCAAACACGAAAGUGGACGUAUACGGUGUGACGCCUGCCCGGUGCCGGAAGGUUAAUUGAUGGGGUUAGCGGCAACGCGAAGCUCUUGAUCGAAGCCCCGGUAAACGGCGGCCGUAACUAUAACGGUCCUAAGGUAGCGAAAUUCCUUGUCGGGUAAGUUCCGACCUGCACGAAUGGCGUAAUGAUGGCCAGGCUGUCUCCACCCGAGACUCAGUGAAAUUGAACUCGCUGUGAAGAUGCAGUGUACCCGCGGCAAGACGGAAAGACCCCGUGAACCUUUACUAUAGCUUGACACUGAACAUUGAGCCUUGAUGUGUAGGAUAGGUGGGAGGCUUUGAAGUGUGGACGCCAGUCUGCAUGGAGCCGACCUUGAAAUACCACCCUUUAAUGUUUGAUGUUCUAACGUUGGCCCGUAAUCCGGGUUGCGGACAGUGUCUGGUGGGUAGUUUGACUGGGGCGGUCUCCUCCUAAAGAGUAACGGAGGAGCACGAAGGUUGGCUAAUCCUGGUCGGACAUCAGGAGGUUAGUGCAAUGGCAUAAGCCAGCUUGACUGCGAGCGUGACGGCGCGAGCAGGUGCGAAAGCAGGUCAUAGUGAUCCGGUGGUUCUGAAUGGAAGGGCCAUCGCUCAACGGAUAAAAGGUACUCCGGGGAUAACAGGCUGAUACCGCCCAAGAGUUCAUAUCGACGGCGGUGUUUGGCACCUCGAUGUCGGCUCAUCACAUCCUGGGGCUGAAGUAGGUCCCAAGGGUAUGGCUGUUCGCCAUUUAAAGUGGUACGCGAGCUGGGUUUAGAACGUCGUGAGACAGUUCGGUCCCUAUCUGCCGUGGGCGCUGGAGAACUGAGGGGGGCUGCUCCUAGUACGAGAGGACCGGAGUGGACGCAUCACUGGUGUUCGGGUUGUCAUGCCAAUGGCACUGCCCGGUAGCUAAAUGCGGAAGAGAUAAGUGCUGAAAGCAUCUAAGCACGAAACUUGCCCCGAGAUGAGUUCU
This 2773-nucleotide ribosomal RNA is filed under the name Escherichia coli. RNAcentral describes it as "bacterial LSU rRNA". It matches the Rfam family "Bacterial large subunit ribosomal RNA". Lineage: Bacteria; Pseudomonadati; Pseudomonadota; Gammaproteobacteria; Enterobacterales; Enterobacteriaceae. The record is from RNAcentral. RNAcentral also lists the same sequence under 2 other names.